This 169-nucleotide unclassified non-coding RNA is filed under the name uncultured Plectosphaerella. Its description in RNAcentral is "sequence contains ITS2". The record is from RNAcentral. Lineage: Eukaryota; Fungi; Ascomycota; Sordariomycetes; Glomerellales; Plectosphaerellaceae.
CAACCCUCGAGCCCCCGUGGCCCGGCGUUGGGGAUCUGCCACGGCAGGCCCCUAAAACCAGUGGCGGACCCGAAGGGCCCUCUCCUUUGCGCAGUAGCAUCAGCCUCGCCUCGGGAGUCCUCGGCGUCCUGCCUCUAAACCCCCUACAAGCCCGCUUCGGCGGCACCAA